GGGGCACGUGGCAGACCCAAAAAUUUUUCUAAAAAAUUGUUGACGUCCGUGACGUCGAGUAGGUCGAUGUGGUAUAUUCACAUACCCAAAUUGAGCACCGUAUGAGAAGUUAUUUCAAAUUGUUGGUUAUGUGUUUUAAUUAACGUUUCUAUAGUUGUUUCGCAUAUAGGUGACACCUAUCCCGAGGACGAGCGCAUCCAGGGACGUCACGGGGGUUACAACCCAUCGACUUACCAGUGAGUGGGCAGUUUUUGUUUUCGUAUAUACCUAUAUACUACUAAUUUCCCAGAAAUUGAAUUUAUAUGAAAAUAUGUUUUAAAAUGCCAUGCAUGCAUAUUAUGAGAUAUUUGAAUUGAUAAUUGAUGCAUAUAUAUAUGAAUUGAUGCUGUGGAUGCACAGGUGAGUUUUACGUUAUUCAUACGAUUUAUUUUAUGUGAAGUGCAUUGAAAGCUCAUAACCUGCACCCUUGGUGUUAGUGCUUAUAUUAUUCACCGCACUGCACGCUCGCCUUGGAUCCAAGUAGGUGAAUGUCGCACAGACCAUGUGCGGGUUCCGACAUGCUAGUCAUAUAGAUCGCUAGAGGUGAUUCCGACUAGUGGGUGACCUUAGUUUAUGCGCGCCGAUGAUUGAUGAGAGAAGCACUAGAGCGUAUUCUUACACCUUUUCAUCGUACAGACUACCUUACGUAGUUCCAAGUGACGUGCAGAGUAGUGCCGUACAGGUCACCGUGGUGACUCCAGCUGGGUUAGAUAUUGAGCUGGAAUUAGCCGUACAGGACCACUGUAGGGUCUCCGGUUAUUUCACUAUAUCACCUGUCAUGUUGAUGCAUCCAUAUUUUUAAUCAUUGACAUUAUUGCUGGCAUAAUUACUGGUUUUUGAUAAAAUUGAUGCUUGAGCAAUUUGAGUAAAUAUUAUGCUAUUAUGUUAAUUUCUGGGAAAGUAUAUAGGUUUUACAGUGAGGGGUUAGAAAUGUUUUAAAUGAAAUGUUUUGGGAAAUCUUUGGUUUUACUGACCCACUCAACUUUGUUUUGCGCCCCUCCAGGUUUUAGUUAGCAGUUGGUGGCUCACGAGGUUCUUUUCGGCAUUCUGACAGACGUCCUGCAUGUAAGACUCACUUGCGGGUGUUGUACUCUUAAUUAUAGUCCUACUUGACUGUACCUAGUAUCUACGCUCUGAAUUUGUGUGUUUUACUUUGUAACUCACUCUUUUAUGCUAGUAGGAUAUUACUGCUAGUGGUUGGUUUAAAUUCCUUCUUAUUUCUCAUAUCUUUUGCUUCCGUGUCGUACUUUUGGCUACGUCACGCUCACUGAAGGAAGAUUUUGUGAAAACAUGUUCAUUUGAACAACAUCAUAUAGCAUGCAAUUAACAAUUAAAGGCGGAAUCAUGCUUGCAUGCACUCAAAAACAAAACAUUACCCAUGAAAUUCAAAGCCUAGUAGAUUGGUGAACCAAAACUCAACUCAAAACAAAGUGAGUCGAAAUCAGACCUUUGUAGAUUCCUCUUUGCAUAAGCAAAGGCUAAUCACCCAAAGAGAGGGCCUUCA
RNAcentral lists this long non-coding RNA (1543 nucleotides) under Malus domestica (apple). RNAcentral describes it as "long non-coding RNA (MDOM_LNC012929)". Lineage: Eukaryota; Viridiplantae; Streptophyta; Magnoliopsida; Rosales; Rosaceae. The record is from RNAcentral.